ACGAACGCUGGCGGCGUGCUUAACACAUGCAAGUCGAACGGUGAAGCGCCUUCCUUUUUGGUGGGUGUGGAUGAGUGGCGAACGGGUGAGUAACACGUGAGUAACCUGCCCCCUUCUUCUGUAUAACCGCAUGAAAGUGUGGCUAAUACGGGAUAUUCUGGGUCUGUCGCAUGAUGGGUCUGGGAAAGAUAUUGUUUCGGUGGGGGAUGGGCUCGCGGCCUAUCAGCUUGUUGGUGGGGUGAUGGCCUACCAAGGCGGUGACGGGUAGCCGGCCUGAGAGGGUGGACGGUCACACUGGGACUGAGACACGGCCCAGACUCCUACGGGAGGCAGCAGUGGGGAAUAUUGCACAAUGGGCGCAAGCCUGAUGCAGCGACGCCGCGUGAGGGAUGGAGGCCUUCGGGUUGUGAACCUCUUUCGCCAGUGAAGCAGGCCUGCCUCGUUUGUGGGUGGGUUGACGGUAGCUGGAUAAGAAGCGCCGGCUAACUACGUG
Molecule: ribosomal RNA, 493 nt
Filed under: uncultured bacterium
Lineage: Bacteria
Description: partial 16S ribosomal RNA
Rfam family: Bacterial small subunit ribosomal RNA
Source: RNAcentral